GACGAACGCUGGCGGCAUGCCUAAUACAUGCAAGUCGAGCGAACAGAUGAAGUGCUUGCACUUCUGGCGUUAGCGGCGAACGGGUGAGUAACACCUAAGGAAUCUACCUAUAAGCGGGGGAUAACAUUCGGAAACGGGUGCUAAUACCGCAUAAUAUCUUCUUCCGCAUGGAAGAAGAUUGAAAGACGGCUCUGCUGUCACUUAUAGAUGACCUUGCGGUGCAUUAGUUAGUUGGUGGGGUAACGGCCUACCAAGACGAUGAUGCAUAGCCGACCAGAGAGGGUGAUCGGCCACAUUGGGACUGGGACACGGCCCAAACUCCUACGGGGGGCAGCAGUAGGGAAUCUUCCGCAAUGGGCGAAAGCCUGACGGAGCAAUGCCGCGUGAGUGAAGAAGGCCUUCGGGUCGUAAAACUCUGUUAUAAGAGAAGAACAAAUUGUAGAGUAACUGCUACAGUCUUGACGGUAUCUUAUCAGAAAGCCACGGCUAACUACGUGCCAGCAGCCGCCGCAG
This 513-nucleotide ribosomal RNA is filed under the name uncultured bacterium. RNAcentral describes it as "partial 16S ribosomal RNA". It matches the Rfam family "Bacterial small subunit ribosomal RNA", at positions 28 to 523 of the family's 1533-position model. The record is from RNAcentral.